GGGCAUCUUCGAUGGCUGCGAAUGCUGCUCUGCCUGUGCCCAGCCAGCAAGGCGUUCCCAGGGAAUUCUAUUCUAUUCCAUAUGUCAAGCACAUUUCAUAUUUUCAAUUGAGCAGCAUUACCAAAAAUUUGUAACUUGUUUCUCUCAAUCGAAACAGACGCAAAGAUAACACACUGAUACACGUUUUGUCACACAGCUGACCUAGGAAUGGAUCCGGCCUAAAGGCCCGAGGCCACUUGGCUACUGUGGUCCCGCAUGCACAGCCCCAGCUCCAUCUCCAGCCGAGGCCCCAUCUCCUCCAGCCAUGAAGCAGCAGCUCUUUCGAAUGCUACGCUCAAAUUACAAAUUAUAAUCGCAGCCACACAGCCACAGGCAAAGGCGAAAGAGACGUGCUAUAAAAAUCAGAGAUACGGCAACAGAAACUCACCACGGUCGCAGUCGGUAGAACGGGUAGACCAAAGAAGUAAGGGGGAAGGCAAGGGGAACUCGAAACCAGACGGCAGGCAAAUCGAAAGACAACAACUCUGCGCACGCAUGUCACUUAACCCGGGCUUUGACGCUGUGGUUGGGGCCAGGCCCUUGGGCAGAGGCCUGUGUGUUGGUGGUGGUGCUGCAGCUCUGAGCGCUGCUCGCGGUGGUUGCCGACGUCGUCGUCGUCGUCUUUGUCUGCUAAGCUGCCUCGUUUAAACUCCGCCUUUUAUUUUCUAAUUGAUUUAAAGUGUGUUAACUUCC
Non-coding RNA from Drosophila virilis, 732 nucleotides. The record is from RefSeq and is a predicted model, not a curated record. NCBI's taxonomy places the organism in Eukaryota, Metazoa, Arthropoda, Insecta, Diptera, Drosophilidae.